This 1115-nucleotide long non-coding RNA is filed under the name Nicotiana benthamiana. RNAcentral describes it as "long non-coding RNA (NBEN_LNC003344)". The record is from RNAcentral. Lineage: Eukaryota; Viridiplantae; Streptophyta; Magnoliopsida; Solanales; Solanaceae.
AAAUAAAGAUGAAUAAGAUUGAGAUCACUCAAAGAGCAAAAUAAGAACCCAUACAUGUGUUACUAAACAUUUUUAAACUACCAAGAAGACAUUCAAUGUUCAAAUAAUUUAAGAAGUAGAAUGACGAACCAACUUCCUAGAAGACUUCAGGAACGAGAGAAACAAUUUGCACAUUUACACAAGAUCUACUUAAGUGGCCAGCCAUAGAAAUCUGAUCAAUCCCUCUUAACAAUGAUGAUUAUCCUUCAAAUAAACUCACAAUACUAUCGCCCAUCACACGAGUUUUAUCAAAAUCACAUGAGGCCCAUAGCAUAUCAUCAAAAUCUGGCCAAUUCCAUGUUAGAACAAGAAAUUUAAGACAAUGACUACUAUUUCGACACAUUAGCCAUCAAAUGCAGAUUCACACAAAAUUAGAGAUCCCAACAUUAAAGUCAAGAACAUGAACACAACUAAGCCCUUAAAAUGGCAUUUCCAAGACCUCAAUUCACCACAAUAACAACAAAUAAAGAAAUAAAUAAGUAAAUAACAGGGGGGGAUGAAUAAACUUGAACACAAGUCUUUCCGUAGUAACUGAAAAUAGAAUAAUCAGCCACAAAAUUUGAAUCCGAAAUCAACUAAAAUUGGAAACAAGAGUCGAACAGAAACACAAAUUGAACCUAACUCGAACGGCGAACACCAACCUCAAGCAAACCCCUUGUUUUGUCCGAAAAGUCCUCUAUUUUGUUCUUCUUCGGAUGUUCCCUUUGUUUUGUGUAUAUGUAUGUAUGUGGAGCUGAAGGGUGGAUAAGAUGGUAAUAGGAGCGGAUGUUUUUGGUGGUUGUUUGUGGAUGAGCAGCUAUGCUAGGUUACAGGGUGAUCGCUUGGUGGUGUGAUGACGGAGAAGAAGAGCGGCGGGGGAGUGAGGGGACUUUGUUUUGUUUGCGCUGCUUCUUCUAGUUUUUUGAAGAAAACGAUGAUGGGGGGGAGGGUCAUCUGGAGAAGACGAAGUCAGGAGGGUGGGGUUUUUGUGGGUGUCAGCGACGCUUAUUCUAAUAAUCUCCUAGGUCUAGGAUCUUUGGAGUGUUAGGUGUAUUUUUUGUGCCCCAGGUCUUAGGCGUAUGUCUCUUUCAUUUUUU